UUAAGCGACUAAGCGUACACGGUGGAUGCCCUGGCAGUCAGAGGCGAUGAAGGACGUGCUAAUCUGCGAUAAGCGUCGGUAAGGUGAUAUGAACCGUUAUAACCGGCGAUUUCCGAAUGGGGAAACCCAGUGUGUUUCGACACACUAUCAUUAACUGAAUCCAUAGGUUAAUGAGGCGAACCGGGGGAACUGAAACAUCUAAGUACCCCGAGGAAAAGAAAUCAACCGAGAUUCCCCCAGUAGCGGCGAGCGAACGGGGAGCAGCCCAGAGCCUGAAUCAGUGUGUGUGUUAGUGGAAGCGUCUGGAAAGGCGCGCGAUACAGGGUGACAGCCCCGUACACAAAAAUGCACAUGCUGUGAGCUCGAUGAGUAGGGCGGGACACGUGGUAUCCUGUCUGAAUAUGGGGGGACCAUCCUCCAAGGCUAAAUACUCCUGACUGACCGAUAGUGAACCAGUACCGUGAGGGAAAGGCGAAAAGAACCCCGGCGAGGGGAGUGAAAAAGAACCUGAAACCGUGUACGUACAAGCAGUGGGAGCCUCUUUAUGGGGUGACUGCGUACCUUUUGUAUAAUGGGUCAGCGACUUAUAUUCUGUAGCAAGGUUAACCGAAUAGGGGAGCCGAAGGGAAACCGAGUCUUAACUGGGCGUUAAGUUGCAGGGUAUAGACCCGAAACCCGGUGAUCUAGCCAUGGGCAGGUUGAAGGUUGGGUAACACUAACUGGAGGACCGAACCGACUAAUGUUGAAAAAUUAGCGGAUGACUUGUGGCUGGGGGUGAAAGGCCAAUCAAACCGGGAGAUAGCUGGUUCUCCCCGAAAGCUAUUUAGGUAGCGCCUCGUGAAUUCAUCUCCGGGGGUAGAGCACUGUUUCGGCAAGGGGGUCAUCCCGACUUACCAACCCGAUGCAAACUGCGAAUACCGGAGAAUGUUAUCACGGGAGACACACGGCGGGUGCUAACGUCCGUCGUGAAGAGGGAAACAACCCAGACCGCCAGCUAAGGUCCCAAAGUCAUGGUUAAGUGGGAAACGAUGUGGGAAGGCCCAGACAGCCAGGAUGUUGGCUUAGAAGCAGCCAUCAUUUAAAGAAAGCGUAAUAGCUCACUGGUCGAGUCGGCCUGCGCGGAAGAUGUAACGGGGCUAAACCAUGCACCGAAGCUGCGGCAGCGACGCUUAUGCGUUGUUGGGUAGGGGAGCGUUCUGUAAGCCUGUGAAGGUGUGCUGUGAGGCAUGCUGGAGGUAUCAGAAGUGCGAAUGCUGACAUAAGUAACGAUAAAGCGGGUGAAAAGCCCGCUCGCCGGAAGACCAAGGGUUCCUGUCCAACGUUAAUCGGGGCAGGGUGAGUCGACCCCUAAGGCGAGGCCGAAAGGCGUAGUCGAUGGGAAACAGGUUAAUAUUCCUGUACUUGGUGUUACUGCGAAGGGGGGACGGAGAAGGCUAUGUUGGCCGGGCGACGGUUGUCCCGGUUUAAGCGUGUAGGCUGGUUUUCCAGGCAAAUCCGGAAAAUCAAGGCUGAGGCGUGAUGACGAGGCACUACGGUGCUGAAGCAACAAAUGCCCUGCUUCCAGGAAAAGCCUCUAAGCAUCAGGUAACAUCAAAUCGUACCCCAAACCGACACAGGUGGUCAGGUAGAGAAUACCAAGGCGCUUGAGAGAACUCGGGUGAAGGAACUAGGCAAAAUGGUGCCGUAACUUCGGGAGAAGGCACGCUGAUAUGUAGGUGAAGUCCCUCGCGGAUGGAGCUGAAAUCAGUCGAAGAUACCAGCUGGCUGCAACUGUUUAUUAAAAACACAGCACUGUGCAAACACGAAAGUGGACGUAUACGGUGUGACGCCUGCCCGGUGCCGGAAGGUUAAUUGAUGGGGUCAGCGCAAGCGAAGCUCUUGAUCGAAGCCCCGGUAAACGGCGGCCGUAACUAUAACGGUCCUAAGGUAGCGAAAUUCCUUGUCGGGUAAGUUCCGACCUGCACGAAUGGCGUAAUGAUGGCCAGGCUGUCUCCACCCGAGACUCAGUGAAAUUGAACUCGCUGUGAAGAUGCAGUGUACCCGCGGCAAGACGGAAAGACCCCGUGAACCUUUACUAUAGCUUGACACUGAACAUUGAGCCUUGAUGUGUAGGAUAGGUGGGAGGCUUUGAAGUGUGGACGCCAGUCUGCAUGGAGCCGACCUUGAAAUACCACCCUUUAAUGUUUGAUGUUCUAACGUUGACCCGUAAUCCGGGUUGCGGACAGUGUCUGGUGGGUAGUUUGACUGGGGCGGUCUCCUCCUAAAGAGUAACGGAGGAGCACGAAGGUUGGCUAAUCCUGGUCGGACAUCAGGAGGUUAGUGCAAUGGCAUAAGCCAGCUUGACUGCGAGCGUGACGGCGCGAGCAGGUGCGAAAGCAGGUCAUAGUGAUCCGGUGGUUCUGAAUGGAAGGGCCAUCGCUCAACGGAUAAAAGGUACUCCGGGGAUAACAGGCUGAUACCGCCCAAGAGUUCAUAUCGACGGCGGUGUUUGGCACCUCGAUGUCGGCUCAUCACAUCCUGGGGCUGAAGUAGGUCCCAAGGGUAUGGCUGUUCGCCAUUUAAAGUGGUACGCGAGCUGGGUUUAGAACGUCGUGAGACAGUUCGGUCCCUAUCUGCCGUGGGCGCUGGAGAACUGAGGGGGGCUGCUCCUAGUACGAGAGGACCGGAGUGGACGCAUCACUGGUGUUCGGGUUGUCAUGCCAAUGGCACUGCCCGGUAGCUAAAUGCGGAAGAGAUAAGUGCUGAAAGCAUCUAAGCACGAAACUUGCCCCGAGAUGAGUUCUCCCUGACCCUUUAAGGGUCCUGAAGGAACGUUGAAGACGACGACGUUGAUAGGCCGGGUGUGUAAGCGCAGCGAUGCGUUGAGCUAACCGGUACUAAUGAACCGUGAGGCUUAACCUU
This 2901-nucleotide ribosomal RNA is filed under the name Escherichia coli. RNAcentral describes it as "bacterial LSU rRNA". It matches the Rfam family "Bacterial large subunit ribosomal RNA". The record is from RNAcentral. Lineage: Bacteria; Pseudomonadati; Pseudomonadota; Gammaproteobacteria; Enterobacterales; Enterobacteriaceae.